This 87-nucleotide transfer RNA is filed under the name Martelella mediterranea. RNAcentral describes it as "tRNA-Ser". It matches the Rfam family "tRNA". From Rfam's summary of the family: Transfer RNA (tRNA) molecules are approximately 80 nucleotides in length. Their secondary structure includes four short double-helical elements and three loops (D, anti-codon, and T loops). Further hydrogen bonds mediate the characteristic L-shaped molecular structure. tRNAs have two regions of fundamental functional importance: the anti-codon, which is responsible for specific mRNA codon recognition, and the 3' end, to which the tRNAs corresponding amino acid is attached (by aminoacyl-tRNA synthetases). tRNAs cope with the degeneracy of the genetic code in two manners: having more than one tRNA (with a specific anti-codon) for a particular amino acid; and 'wobble' base-pairing, i.e. permitting non-standard base-pairing at the 3rd anti-codon position. RNAcentral also lists the same sequence under 2 other names. The record is from RNAcentral. Lineage: Bacteria; Pseudomonadati; Pseudomonadota; Alphaproteobacteria; Hyphomicrobiales; Aurantimonadaceae.
GGAGAGGUGGCCGAGUGGUCGAAGGCGCUCCCCUGCUAAGGGAGUAUACCAGUGAUGGUAUCGAGGGUUCGAAUCCCUUCCUCUCCG